UACGGGGGGGGCAAGCGUUGUUCGGAAUUACUGGGCGUAAAGGGUUUGUAGGUGGCUUGCUAAGUCAGACGUGAAAUCCCUCAGCUUAACUGGGGAACUGCGUCUGAUACUGGCGAGCUUGAGUGCAGGAGAGGAACGCGGAAUUCCAGGUGUAGCGGUGAAAUGCGUAGAUAUCUGGAGGAACACCGGUGGCGAAGGCGGCGUUCUGGACUGUAACUGACACUGAGAAACGAAAGCCAGGGUAGCAAACGGG
Molecule: ribosomal RNA, 253 nt
Filed under: uncultured bacterium
Lineage: Bacteria
Description: partial 16S ribosomal RNA
Rfam family: Bacterial small subunit ribosomal RNA
Source: RNAcentral